Long non-coding RNA from Scleropages formosus (Asian bonytongue), 2867 nucleotides. The record is from Ensembl. NCBI's taxonomy places the organism in Eukaryota, Metazoa, Chordata, Actinopteri, Osteoglossiformes, Osteoglossidae.
CCAGGGGAAGUCUCACCUCCCCUAAAACCUCCAAAGGUCUCCAAAAUUCUCUGGGAGGCAGACAUCCCAGCCUCAUGGGGACUCCUUUAUAGUUUGCAUCUAGUUGUCCCGUUCAUGGUGGCUUUUACUAACCCAAUAAGUGUUUCGCAAAGUAUCCUGGUAUCGGAAUAUUAAGUUUGACGUAUCUCUGACACGUCAUGCAUUAGGAUGACUGACACUGAAGUAUCGCGACGUCGUACGCCGAUUGGCUGCUGGGACACAAGCCCGAUCACUACCGAACGUCAAGGACCGUAACCGGCUCAGUGAGGGAAGGACCAAAGAGCAGCUAUAGAUCGUGGUCACUGAAAUAGCGGAGGGGGAUGGUACUGCGGUGUGAUGCACCGUGACUCUGCGUGUGUCGGAACUUCUUUCUCAGUCAAAAGUCGCGUCGCGUGGCGUCGCAUCGCAUCGCAUCGCAUCGCUGAGUUUCGAAAACUGGCGAGGUGUGCCCAGUUGAUGACGUUAAUAAAGGAAAAGGACAAAAAAGAGGUACUUGUAUCGCCAGUGGAAGGUAUCACGGUGGGGCAGGGUCGGAUUCUAAAGUCACUGAGAGAAGAACAAAAGAGUGUGUGUGUGUGUGUGUGUGUGUGUGAGAGAGAGAGUUUUGCUUUGUUUUUUCAUACACCGCAGUGCGGAGACAAAACACGAAGUUCACAGAGGGAGGGAGACGACAACGUCUCCUUCCUCGGUUUGAACUCUUCCAUCUGUUGACCCUGUUUGUUUCCCGAUCCUUGAGCUGCACCUCACACACAGUGACACACGCAAAAAAGCCACGUAAGUGAAACGAUACAAAGGUAAAUGAGUAGGACACGCGGAAUCCGGACACACACACUUGACCCCUUCUUGUCUAGUAUUUCCCAGAAGAUCUUCUUGAGCUUCACGGCCGUGUCCCCCCACAUCUUCUCACGUUGACCUGAGACCUUCUUCGGCGCUCCGAAACGGCACAUUUCACACAUGAUCACACGUUCUCUUCUCCUUCUCCAUUCCACAUCUUCCAAUGUACCGCAGUAAAUUGCCCAAGAGCUGAAACAGCUGAAAUGAGUCGGUGGUAGAAGGCCGAGGACUUGUCUACACUUAAUUAUUAAUAUACUGUGAUUUACCUCACAGUACUUCACGGCACUGACAUCGCUUCUCUCAGACACAACACUCUUCUGUAUGAAAUGUGAGUGAAGAACACAAUUUUUGGCUGAUGUAAAAUGUAACAAUCGUGCACAGAAAGGAGUGUCGUAACAACUUACCGGAGGGCCAAGAUAAGAGGAAAAGUACAUAAACAUGAUGGGCAAAAAUACAUAAACCAUCCAUGUGCGCGCGAUGAACGCAACUCAGUUGGUCCACUUUAAAAAGUUGUCGUUCAUUUUUAUAUUUCUUCUUUGAAUUUGUGUGGAUUUUAUCUGUAUAGUAUUUUAUUCACACAUGAUUUUAGUAGUCUUGUUUUAUUAGGUUUGUGCACUUUUAACUGUUUUUUAUAUCGAUCACUCACUUAUUAUGUGUGUAUGUCUGCUUUUUUUUAGUCUGAUUUUACGUUUUAGGGGGUAUGAUGGUAAAGUUUUAUACUGUAAUUUAGCAGUAGUUUAUGUGUUUUGGAAGAUGCAUGUAUAUGAUACGAUGACUCGGGUUAAGCUGCUAUUGGGGGACAGUCCUUGCGUGGGUAUGUUGGUGUGGGGAAGACGUGGGUCACUUAUAUAUUUUGAAGCCAGGAGGGGGGAUUGUUAUGGGAAAGACUUUGUCACUGUCUUCACAAUGUAUUUUAUGUAAUGGCUUUUUAGUAAGCCUUGUUGACCAGCUGUAGGAAAUGUAGUUUUAAAUGUGUCUGGUUGCAAAUUUGUUGAGAACUUUUUUUUAAAUUGUGUAGGUCGUGUAUUUUAUUUAAUAAUAACUUUCUUUAAUAGAGUUUUUUUUUUUUUUUUUUUUUUUUUUUUUUUUUUAAGUUGCCGUUCACUCCUUUUACCGCAAGAUGGCAGUAAAGAAUCUCUCACACACACUCACACACACACACACACACACACACACACACACACACACACACACACACACACACACUUUCAGAACCGCUUGUCCCAUACAGGGUCACGGGGAACCGGAGCCUACCCGGCAACACAGGGCGUAAGGCCGGAGGGGGAAGGGACACACCCAGGACGGGACGCCAGUCCGUCGCAAGGCACCCCAAGCGGGACUCGAACCCCAGACCCACCGGAGAGCAGGACUGCAGUUUAACCCAGGCAGUAAAGAAUCGCUUUAUAAAAUACUGGCUCGAGAAACAAAAUAUUAACAUGAAACUUAAUUCUAGGCUCAUAACUCGGAAAAGGACUAGUUUGGUUAGCUGUACACAGUUGUACACACUACAUAUCCCCAUGAUGACCACCACCACUACUGCUACAACCACUGCUACUACGACUGAUGACCCCAAUUUGCCAUCCGGGGCUUAAACUGAGUGACUUUUGGGUUUCACUGCUGACCAGUUGCUGCUACGAGAUUAGAACCUGAGCUGCAGGACCUCACACCCGUUACGAAGAACUGCAGCAGUGAGUGAGGAGAAAUACCGAAAUGUAUAUUAGGAGUGAAAUAAUGCAGAUAAAUACGAAACCAAUAAUUCGCAUACAAUAAUGAUUGGCGGUGUGUGUGGGGGGUCCGGGAUUCAGGCAGUUCAUCGCAAGGCAGGACUCGAACCCCGGACCCGCCCCGCGGCAGGCACCGCCCAACCCGCUGCGCCACCGCACCCCCGCUUUUAAAAGCAUCAUAAUAUCUAAGACUUGCAUAGAAAAUUCCCAGCAAUUUACUCUCCUGCUUUUCUUGAUUGUGUAGCUAAUAAAGCAAACUGAAAGCGGCCA